Long non-coding RNA from Coregonus clupeaformis (lake whitefish), 1213 nucleotides. RefSeq lists it as uncharacterized. Lineage: Eukaryota; Metazoa; Chordata; Actinopteri; Salmoniformes; Salmonidae. The record is from RefSeq and is a predicted model, not a curated record. The transcript has 4 exons.
UACAUGUCAUCAUAGUCAACUAUAACUAAGCUUUGGAUAAAAGCGUCUGCUAAAUGGCAUAUUAUUUAUUUAUUAUCAUAAAAUCCUCCUAAAUCCCUCAAAUAAAAACGUAAUUUAGCAUCAAUUAGCCAGAUAAGCUAAUGUUAGCAAAUUAGCUGAAAGGAAUGAAAAGGACUUUUGCCACAUGGAAAAUUCAGAACUGGAAGAAGUGCAAGAGAAAUGAAGGUAAUACAUUUAUUUUUCUUCAUUUACAACUAAAGAGAUAGUUAUUAUCUAAGCUGUUCUUACAUUUAAGUGUUCUUGACCACAAAUGUUACUUAGCACUAUCAUGUUUUUCCAUUUAAAGCCAAAGUGAUGAUAUUGGUUGUUCAGUUCAGAUAAUGUUAUUUGUAGAGUUUACAGUACUAUACUUUUAUAACAGUAUUUAUCUUUGAAGGUGUUAAGAUUGCUUACUGUGCUUACUGUGAAAAGAUUGCUAUUGUGAUUGCAGUUGCAUAAGGUUUGCACUGAUCGGUUAGCCUAAUAAGCUAACCGGAUACUGCAUUAGUAAGAACAUGAGCACGAUAUGACUAAAGGCAGACUAAUACCAUUUGAUAUAUCCUUAUUCGAUUCAAAUCAAGUAUUAGUCUUUUCUGUAUUUGUCUCGCUGACUUUUUGUCAUCCAAUGUAGAUGUUUUCUAGUUGAGGAGCACAUGGGCAAUUGAAGAGCAUGUCAAAACGAAGAGCCAGACUUAGUCCUGAGGCUGAGGCUAUUCAUUUUAUUAUUUCUGGAAGUGACAAGCCUUGUAUAAAGUCAAAUGGAUCAAUGACUAUAAAGGACGUGGUGUAUUUGCCUCAGCACCAAUUGAAAAGGGAUCCUUUGUCCUCGAGUACCGUGGGGAGUUUAUAUCGCAAUAUGAAUGGGACAAGAGGCAGGGGAAGUAUACGGAAAAGCAAAAUGCUUUCUUGUUUGAUUUUGAAUGGAACAAUGGCUCAUGGUGCAUAGAUGCAUCCUGCGAAGAUGGUUCACUGGGGAGGCUGGUAAAUGAUGCCCACAGGUCCCCAAAUUGCAAAAUGAAAAAGAUGAUAGUCCAAUGUAAACCUCAUCUUUGCUUGUUUGCUAUUGAAAACAUCCAAGCAGAGAGUGAAAUAACCUAUGAUUAUGGAUAAUCUCAGUGGCCAUGGCGUGCUCUGACACCAAGUGACAAGAUCCCAGCUCAAGCUUCAGCAGACC